Molecule: ribosomal RNA, 230 nt
Filed under: uncultured bacterium
Lineage: Bacteria
Description: partial 16S ribosomal RNA
Rfam family: Bacterial small subunit ribosomal RNA
Source: RNAcentral
AGGGUAGCGUAGGCGGCUGAUUAAGUCAGCGGUGAAAGGUAGCAGCUUAACUGUUUUACAUGCCGUUGAUACUGGUUAGCUUGAGUUGACAGAAGGCAGAUAGAAUUCCUGGUGUAGCGGUGAAAUGCUUAGAUACCAGGAGGAAUACCGAUUGCGAAGGCAGUCUGCUGCAGUCACACUGACGCUGAGGCUCGAAGGUGCGGGGAUCAAACAGGAUUAGAUACCCGUGU